This 301-nucleotide ribosomal RNA is filed under the name uncultured bacterium. RNAcentral describes it as "partial 16S ribosomal RNA". It matches the Rfam family "Bacterial small subunit ribosomal RNA", at positions 509 to 807 of the family's 1533-position model. The record is from RNAcentral.
CAGUAGCCACGGUAAUACGAAGGGGGCUAGCGUUGUUCGGAAUUACUGGGCGUAAAGGGCGCGUAGGCGGCCAUUCAAGUUAGAUGUGAAAGCCCUGGGCUCAACCUAGGAAUUGCAUUUGAUACUGUUUGGCUUGAGUUCGGGAGAGGUGAGUGGAAUUCCCAGUGCAGAGGUGAAAUUCGUAGAGAUUGGGAAGAACACCAGUGGCGAAGGCGUCUCACUGGACAAUAACUGACGCUGAUGCACGAAAGCUAGGGGAGCAGACAGGAUUAGAUACCCGUGUAGUCCCUGUCUCUUAUAC